This 3621-nucleotide long non-coding RNA is filed under the name Podarcis lilfordi (Lilford's wall lizard). The record is from RNAcentral. Lineage: Eukaryota; Metazoa; Chordata; Lepidosauria; Squamata; Lacertidae.
GGAAGAUCAGGCAAAAUAGCAUGCACACAUAUCUCUAUUGGGAUAAAUUUACACAAAAAUGCUGAAUUAUGAGGACUUCUUUUUUAAAAGUCGCAAACUGAUGUGAAGAUGCAGAGAACUGAACUUAAGACUGCAAGAAUGAGAAACUGAAGUUUGAGAGAACCACCCAUCCUUGCUUAGAAGUGAAUCCCAGAGUUCAGUGAGGCUUCUACCCAAGUAAGUGUACAUGCAUUUAGAACCUUUACCAUCGCCAGUCAAAACAGUGGAGAGAUUCCUCCUUUACUCCUUUUGGGUCUUCCGCAUAGACCAGAAACAAGUUCAUAUCCUUUUACUGCUGAACAAGUUACAUUGCAGAUGGGUGAACAAUUCUCAAAACAAGGAACAGAGUCCAGAUCUGCUUUCCAAGCUUGCAGUCUAGCUCUCAGCUUCCCCCUCGUUUUCCUCUUCUGUGACAUUAUUGCUCCCGUUAGUUCCAAUGUUUGGAGGUGAGUUCAGCUGAAACAGCAACACUCAUGCACAAGAGGGACAUUACAGUACAGCUGGUGUGGGGGAUUCCUGAGGGUUGCAGUACAAAAAAGGGGGGACUCUAAGACUAGAUUGCUCCCCCCAAAAAACUCCAGCUCAGUGAAGAUGGGCCUUUCUCAGUGGCCACAGAAUGCUGACAGCCAUUACCAGCAUGUGGAGCACACAAAAUCAAAAGGCAAAAACAAUGAAUGGAGUAUGUUGAACAAGGGCAUUUUGCUGCAGGUCCCCACUUGUGACUGUAUUUUUAUUGACUAUUGUAUCUGCCCUUCAUAUUGCUUCAACUUCCUUUAUCUUAUGUUACAGUUUCACACUGCAAUAACAUUGUUGCCAUAAACCAUCAGCUUGAACUACUGCUACUACAACUACUGCACUGCUAGCUUAGCAAAACAUGUUUAUGCUUAUCCUUUAUAGCACGUUACUCAUUUCCACCCACCCACUGAAGUGCUCCUUCUCAGAUCUAAUUUGUGUAGCUCACAAAGCUGUGGGAGAGAUGCAAUGGGAGCUAGGUGAGAGGCAUCAUAACACACCUCUAGAAAGAAGAUUGCAUUGCUUUUAAGCCUGAGAAAGACAUCUAGAUAAUAAUGAAGAUAAUAAAACAAAAAUACCCAACAGCUUAAAAUGUUGAAGGGAGCCCUAUGUGAAUGCUUAAAGUCCUCUAUAAAGAGCCAAGUAUAACCAACAAUGCAAGCCUAUAUGUCAAUGGGAGGGAACCUUACCCCCCAAGGGCCGCAUUCACAUCCAGGCAACCAUCUGAGGGCCAUAUUCCAGUGAUGGGCGGAGCCGGAGGCAAAAGUGAGUGGAGCAAUGGAUGCUGAUUUUUACCUUCAUGUACCAGGCUGAUUUCUACACAUACCACUGCCUAUCCUCCAUCUAGGCAAGCAAGAGGCAUUAUUAGGGUUCAAGGACACAUCCCAACCAGGCAAAAGCACUUGCAGUAUGAAAAGGGGUCAGUGAGCAGUGGGGCCUGGGGAGACUCUCAAAGGCCAGACAGAGAGAUGCCAACCCUUGGGCCUGAUGUUUCCUCUAGGUAAAGGUAAAGGGACACCUGACCAUUAGGUCCAGUUGCGGAUGACUCUGGGGUUGCGGCGCUCAUUUUGCUUUAUUGGCCGAGGGAGCUUCCAGGUCAUGUGGCCAGCAGGACUAAGCCACUUCUGGAGAACCAGAGCAGCGCAUGGAAACUCCGUUUACCUUCCCGCCGGAGCGGUACCUAUUUAUCUACUUGCACUUUGACGUUCUUUCGAACUGCUAGGUUGACAGGAGCAGGGACUGAGCAACGGGAGCUCACCCCGACACAGGGAUUCAAACCGCCGACCUUCUGAUCGGCAAGUCCUAGGCUCUGUGGUUUAACCCACAGCGCCACCCGCGUCCUGAUGUUUACUCUACUUGCCAGCGAAUAAGUCCCAUUGAAUUCAAAAGGGCUUAAUGCUUAGCAGAUGUGUUUGGAUUGCACCAUAAGUCAAGGGUGGAGAAUCUGUGGCUCUCCAGAUGUUGUUGAACUCUAACUCCCACCAUCCAGGAUUAUGGGAGUUGUAGUCCAGCAAAACCUGGACAGCCACAUGUUCUCCACCCUUUCAGCUGAAUUCAGAUGCUUUGUACCCUAGAUAACAUAUUGCGGGGGGGGGGGAUUCCCUUCACAGAUGGGGGGGGGGUGCAAAUGGAUUUAGUCCAUGCACACACCAUCAGAGGGCUAAUAGCAUCCACUGUUCCUUUUUUGCCCAUCUCCCUUUAAAAAAUGUACUGAUGGGUUGAUUUUCAAUAAUAUGAUGUAUAUAGAGAAACAAGAAAUAAACUGGUGUUUUCUUCCUCCCAAUGCCCCCCAUGAGUGUCUAAAAUUCUCAGUAGCUGCAUUAAGGCAAGCAUAAAUUCCACAUCUGUUUGGACAUUCAUGCAACAUUAACAUGAUACCCCCCCCAUAUACAUAAAAAUGUAAGACUGCCUUCACAUAGUCCCCACUGGAGGAUUUGUAGUGCCGCAUCUCAGUGUUGGAUUUGCAUGGAGAAAUGGGGUUGGGAAGGUGCUGACACCAAACUCUACAUACAUUAAACAUAAUAGAAACACCGCCACCCGACCCCACCCCUAUCCAUCUUCCCUCUCUCCACCCCCCCUUUCUUUUUUCUUUUUUUCUUUCUUCUCCCCCUAAUGCCUCAACAAAUGAAACGGACAUGUAAAAAUGUUACAUGAAAAAAAAAUACGAGGCACUACACUUCUGUAAAACAAGAAAAUCCUUAUUUAUUUAUUUAUUUAUUUAUUUAUUUAUUUAUUUAAAGUGAGGCUAGUAGCUGCCUGGGGUGAGAAGGGGGAGCAUGGCAAGGGAGUAGUGAGUGGAGUGAGCCGAACCCCUAGUAUCUUUUAUUUAUCCAGGGGCAGAACUAGGCUUCUUUUCACUGGUCAAAGACCCAAUUUGGCGUGCGCGCGCACACACACACACACACACACACACCAUGCACAUCUGUGUACACACAGAGAGAAACUGGGAGCCUCAAUGGCACCCCUAUGGAGGCUUCACCUGGGGCAAAAAAACCCGGCUAACCCCACUGUAGCUAUGGCUCUGAUUUAUCUGAAUAUGCCCAGACUUGCUUUAAGUAGCAUACAUGAAAAUAUAAAUUGAGUAUGCACUGUUUUAACUUACAUGCUUGUUGUAAGUAUAAAUUCCACACUUGGUUGGACGUUCAGACAGAGUAGCAUAAUUUAUCCUAUAUUUAUCUUAACAGGUCUACCUUCAUUCGUUCACUGUUUGGAAUAUACUAAAUAAAGUAAGUGCACGGUUCUUAUUUGAUUUUAGUUGUUUUAGUUGGAUACCUUGGCAGCUUGGGGCCAUUUGAUUGUCUCUCUGUGGCCAUCAGCAGCUCAUCGUCUUGGCUUCUGAGCUCGCACUCAUAAAGGUGGUGGUCCCUGCGGGAAGAUCCUCUGACAACCACUUUCCAGCAGGAAGGAAGCCAAGUGCAAGGAAAUGUCAAAAGAGCGAGCAGCAAAUUCACAGAAGACAGAAGUGGUGAGUCACCCAUCACAGAGAAGCUUUCCACGGUUCCAGCAACAUGGAGCACAGUCUAAUAAAUGGUACAGAUCCCCAAGGGGCCACACUAAGCUCGUUUUAGG